This is a long non-coding RNA of Mercurialis annua (annual mercury), 2392 nucleotides long. RefSeq lists it as uncharacterized. NCBI's taxonomy places the organism in Eukaryota, Viridiplantae, Streptophyta, Magnoliopsida, Malpighiales, Euphorbiaceae. The record is from RefSeq and is a predicted model, not a curated record. The transcript has 3 exons.
UCGGUUUUUCGUUUGUGAUACGGUUUAACGGUAGCAUCAUAAACUCUCCCCGUGGAGUAGAAUACUUUGGGGGUGGUUAUGUGCAAGUGCCGUUAAGUGGAAGAAUUAAUUUCCAAGAGUUGGUCGAUAUUUGUGGAUCGGCAGUAUCCACUACUGUGGGCCCGAUGGAGAUCGCCAAAAUAUAUUUCCGGGUACCUCAUGUUAAAGGGGGUCAUAUAUAUUCGUAUUCGUUACUAGAUGUGCAGGGCGAACAACACGUAUUUUCUAUUCGGGGUGAGGCAGCUCGGAUGGCGGCACUAAAAAAUUUAGAUUUGUACGUGGAGUACCGCACGGCGAUUUGUGAUGAUAUUUCUAUUGAUCAGCUGUAUAUAUCUGGUUCUAGUGAGUCGGAGAGGGACAGUGAGGAAGAGGGAGAAGACGACCACUACGAAAGCGAGGAGGAGGAUAUGGAGGACAUACUUAUUACUGCUGAACCGAGUAAUUUGGGAGAAAAUAUACAGUACCAGUCCCGACUGCUGCCACACGUCAGACGUGUAGAUCUCGAAGACUUCGACGUCGACGUGGACUCAUGGGAAGAGACGAACGUUGAGUAGGAGCGGAGGAUGGAGUUUGAAAAGGGGAUGACUUUCUCGAGCCGGGAGGCUGUUCGGGCCUGUGUUGUUACCUAUUCUGUGGACAAGGGAAGAGAGUCCAAGAGUCACCGGACAACGCACACGACAAUAGUUCUCGUUUGCAAGCACAACGAGAUAUGCAAAUGGUGGCUGCGUGCCACACUGCUUCAGAGAACCAACAUAUGGACGUUGACAAGAUAUAACAGGACACACAUAUGCGAUAUGCAAGUGUUAGUUCGUCACCAUCGGAAUUUUGGGAUUGCUCAGAUCGCCAAUUUUAUUAAGACGCAAGUCUAGGGCAGCGUGAUAACAGAUCAAAACGCUGAUUGUGGGACUCCUUGAAUUAACUGGAGUGGCUCUUCCAUAUAAAAGAGUGUGGUACGGCAAAGAGAGGGCAGUCUGCAUCGUUUAUGGAGACUGGAAAUACAAUUACACUCAACUGAAAAAGUUCAUGGAUAACGUGGUCCAUGUGAAUCCUGGAUCCUUUUGGAAUGCCGAAGGCCCCCUAUCUGUGUGCGGCGGGCAUCAAUGUAGAAUUUUCGAACGGAUGUUCUGGACGUUCUUCCCGAUGGUGGACGGAUUUCCGUUUUACAAGCCAGUUUUAUUCAUCAACGACGCCCACUUAUACUGCAAAUACAAAUUGCACAUGUUGAUAGCAUCGACGAUAGAGGCAUAUCCAGACAGCCAGAGCCGACCCGUGAGAUCCUGACAGACCCUCUCCCCCCAUCGGCCGUCUUUCACGGGGAUAUAGAGGACUUCAUUUGGCGGUAUUGCGGGUCUACGCAUGAGUACGGGAGCACCUCUUCGCCCAGGGGCCACCGGCUUCCUCUUUUUCAGUAUCGCCUACUUCUAUGCCUUAUGUUGACCCGUCCUUUGGGCAGACCGCUUACACUACUCCGCUGGCCACGCCGCAGGACCUUCUAGCCACACCUGUACAUUUGAUUUUGAAUUUACAUUAUUUGGGUUAUAACAUCAAUAAUUAUAGUAACUAAUUCGUUUUAUUUUCCAGGUCGAUUAUCAGGGGGAUACCGAGGACUUUAUAUGGCGGUAUACCGGGUAUACGCAUCACCACGACAGCACCUCUUCGCAGAGUGAGGCGCCACCAGGUUUGUCUUUUUCAGUACCGCCAGACUUCUCCCAGCAUCAUGGUUCCGCUUUUACCCCGUUUCAGCCUCCACCGCCACCUCCAGCUCAGCAAUAUGGUGAAAUAUUUGAAGACAACUGGUCCUAUCCGCAGACGCCUGCAGUGGGGAAUUUUAGUCAGCUUCUUGAGGGCUACAUUCCACAGCCGCCAUCCUCCUCUCCUCACCCGACUCAAAACCCCUCCCAGAUGCAUUUUUUGGUCACUGACGAUUGGAUGUACAAUUUGGAUGCUGCCAUGCCUCCGUCCGGUGGACUUUUUGACUUGACACCUCCUUCCUUUUUCCUGGGUUAGGGAACCCCUCCUCACAGGCGCCCGCUUUUGAUGUCGACCGUGCUCAGGACGAGAGUGACUAUGUGGACAGUCAAGACAGCGAUAAUAGCGACCCCAGCACCGGCCCAGAUGGUAGAGCUUACCGGCCAUUGACUAAUACCCAGAUGAGUCGGCGUCAGAACAGGGGUUACGGCCUGAGGACACACUUAAGGAUUCCAGAUAGAACAAACAUUUAGUUGUAUUUUAUAGCUUUUUUAUUGUUUUACAAAUAUUUAUGAUUAUUUGAUUUUCCGGUUAAUUUUAAUUGUUGUGUAAGGUUUUAUUAUAAUCUUGUACAAAACCCUAGUAAUUUAUUAUUAUCUGAUAA